CAGUAAUGGGUGCAGAGGGCAGCGAGCUCCUGACUUCUCUCAGUGGGGGAGAUGGACGAGAGGGGCCCACAGGCAGCGCUGGGAACCAGCAAGGAGCUUGCUGGGUGCUGGGACUAAAGGCGUGCACCACCAUCACCCGGCCCUAAGGCUCUUUCCAUCAUGUUGACAUCACCCUCUGGAAUCACGAAGUAGGAGUUCAGGAUAUAUAGGAAAUUUUUCACACAGUGUGUCUAGAAAUGGCAUGGAACAUCUCAGGCUGGGAGGGAAAGACUUGUCCAGCUGAUCUCUUGGCUUCUAGUGUCCUGAGAAGUCCACCGUCACAUUAUGACUGAGGCCAUAUUUCUCGAACACAGGAUGGUUACUCCUGGCUCUGUGAGGAAGGCAGUAGCCUUCUUAGGAGAAGAUUCAAAGCCCUGUGUGCUCAAAGCCUUCCCUAGCUCAAACCCCAGCAUCGCAAACCCCACCCUAUACCACUGCACCAUGGUGUAUGCUUUCCUCAGGGCCGUCCUCACAGAUGCUGUCUCUACUUCCUAGUGUGGCCCAUCCUGGCCAGCACCGAGGCACCCAUGACAGUGCCCUGAACAACCAGCACUCACUCUCCACCAGCAGCAACUGGACAGCUGCUUGCUGAGUUCAUGCAUUAAAACCCCUUCUUGCAUGGCUGAGGAGAUGGCUCAGAAGCUAACCGUGCUCGCUUACAAAGCCUGAUGACCAGGGUUCAGUCUCCAGCCACCCACAUGAGGCUGGAUGGACAUUCAUUUGAAAUGUCACAAGACCCUCAUAUAUACACACUUGCACACAUAUACAUGUGUAUAUAAACAUACAAAAAGUAAAAAUAAAUAAAAUCCCUCCUUGAAAAAUAUAGUCCAAGCCACCUAGUGACACAGGCCUGUAACUCGUGAGCUUGGGAGGUUGGGCAGGAGAAUCUCAACUUCUAGGCCAGCCUGGGCUACAAAACGAGUUCAAACAGCUACAUAGUGAAACCUGGUCUCAAACACCAAAAAGAACCAAAACCAACCAAACCAAACAACAGCAACGAAAUACUCCAACAUUCAAGUUUUAAUAGUUGUAACAGGGAAUGGUCUGGGGAGUGGGUGGGCAGGGGUGGCUAAGAAUACUCGCUGCACAAAUGAAGACCUGAGUUCAAUCCCCAGCACCCACGUGAAAGCCUGGGCAUGCUCCAAGGCUCAGGGAACACUGUGGAAAAGGGGACACAAAGAAUGUAAGAGCCAAAGGAUGGGAAGGAACGCUUUGGAACACUGCUUUCCACACAUGAAGUGGUCACUGCAGUCAUGACCCCACAGUGACUGUCAUUACCUGCACAAGAACUGCACAAUAUUGGGCCGGUCAACACUCCAUCAUAGAUGAUGGAGGAGGGAGAAAAAAAAACCCAUCAAAA
Jaculus jaculus (lesser Egyptian jerboa) is the source of this 1399-nucleotide long non-coding RNA. RefSeq lists it as uncharacterized. NCBI's taxonomy places the organism in Eukaryota, Metazoa, Chordata, Mammalia, Rodentia, Dipodidae. The record is from RefSeq and is a predicted model, not a curated record. The transcript has 3 exons.